Molecule: ribosomal RNA, 253 nt
Filed under: uncultured bacterium
Lineage: Bacteria
Description: partial 16S ribosomal RNA
Rfam family: Bacterial small subunit ribosomal RNA
Source: RNAcentral
UACAGGGGGUGCAAACGUUGCUCGGAAUUAUUGGGCGUAAAGCGCGCGUAGGCGGCUACCUAAGUCGGAUGUGAAAGCCCCUGGCUUAACUGGGGAAGUGCACCCGAAACUGGGUAGCUAGAGUGCAAAAGAGGGUCGCGGAAUUCCCAGUGUAGAGGUGAAAUUCGUAGAUAUUGGGAGGAACACCGGUGGCGAAGGCGGCGACCUGGGUUGACACUGACGCUGAGGCGCGAAAGCGUGGGGAGCGAACAGG